RNAcentral lists this ribosomal RNA (301 nucleotides) under uncultured bacterium. RNAcentral's name for it is "partial 16S ribosomal RNA". It matches the Rfam family "Bacterial small subunit ribosomal RNA", at positions 509 to 807 of the family's 1533-position model. The record is from RNAcentral.
CAGUAGCCGCGGGAAUACAGAGGAUGCAAGCGUUAUCCGGAAUGAUUGGGCGUAAAGUGUCUGUAGGUGGCUUUUCAAGUCCGCCGUCAAAUCCCAGGGCUCAACCCUGGACAGGUGGUGGAAACUACCAAGCUGGAGUAUGGUAGGGGCAGAGGGAAUUUCCGGUGGAGCGGUGAAAUGCAUUGAGAUCGGAAAGAACACCAACGGCGAAAGCACUCUGCUGGGCCGACAUUGACACUGAGAGACGAAAGGUAGGGGAGCAAAUGGGAUUAGAUACCCCCGUAGUCCCUGUCUCUUAUAC